Molecule: transfer RNA, 76 nt
Filed under: Patescibacteria group bacterium
Lineage: Bacteria
Also listed under: 2 other names
Description: tRNA-Thr
Rfam family: tRNA
About the family: Transfer RNA (tRNA) molecules are approximately 80 nucleotides in length. Their secondary structure includes four short double-helical elements and three loops (D, anti-codon, and T loops).
Source: RNAcentral
GCCGCCUUAGCUCAGUUGGUAGAGCUACACUUUUGUAAAGUGAGGGUCCCCAGUUCGAGUCUGGGAGGCGGCUCCA